This 253-nucleotide ribosomal RNA is filed under the name uncultured bacterium. Its description in RNAcentral is "partial 16S ribosomal RNA". It matches the Rfam family "Bacterial small subunit ribosomal RNA", at positions 524 to 776 of the family's 1533-position model. The record is from RNAcentral.
UACGUAGGGUGCAAGCGUUGUCCGGAAUUAUUGGGCGUAAAGAGCUCGUAGGCGGUCUGUCGCGUCGGAUGUGAAAACCCAGGGCUCAACCCUGGGCCUGCAUUCGAUACGGGCAGACUAGAGUUCGGUAGGGGAGACUGGAAUUCCUGGUAUAGCGGUGAAAUGCGCAGAUAUCAGAAGGAACACCGGUGGCGAAGGCGGGUCUCUGGGCCGAUACUGACGCUGAGGAGCGAAAGCGUGGGGAGCAAACAGG